GAUGGGUACCAAGAGCUGAAGUAGCUUGCACGAAAAGGUAAGGGGCUCUUUCAAGCCCCGGCCCGGAUACCAAGAGUUGAAGUAGCUUGCACGGAAAGGUAAGGGGCUCUUUCAAGCCCCGGCCAGCUCGCCUCAGAUUUCACAGUGUGGACAGGUCCUUUAAAUCCCGCAACACGCCGGCAUGAAUUGAAAGCCACGCGGGGCGAGCGGGGCGCGAACCGGUGUUACCCUGGGGUGGGGGGCGCCCCGAUUGUGCCGUGCAAACGCCAACUCCCUCGGUGCAGCUCCCUCGGCGUGCCAUCCCGGCGCCUGUCACCUUAUGGGAUCGCGGAGGAGCCAACCUUGCCCGCGCAGGCACUGCGAGCGCAACCCUUGCACAGAUUUUAAUCCACGGGAUCCUGCCUUAUAAGGCACGCACUUGUCCUUAGGAUCUUCAAGCGAGCCAUAGGAUCAGAAUGUAUCCUUUUCCAUGAGUGCAGUAAAGGAAGGGAUGAAAGAAGGCCGCUUCAGAAUCAAAGCUGUAUUUUCCCCUCUAUGUGUGGCUCCACUUGAUUGGCAGAAACACAGCAAAAUAAGGUAGUGGUGGAAAGGGCCCUUUGUUAGUUGCGGUGUGUGUGUGUCUGUGUGUGUGUCUGUGUGUGUGUGUGUGUGUGUGUGUGUGCAUGCGUGCAUGUGUGCAUGCCCACGCCCUUGCUAAUUGUUCUGGUUUUUCUAUAUCAGGCUCAAGGAUUACAAAUUGUCGUCCUGCUCUUGACUAUGGCCUCGUAAAGUAGGAUAGGAAUCACGUACUGUAGAGAGAGUCCAGACUCAGAAGACAGAAACUUGCCGCGACCACUGACUAAAUCCAUCAUUUCUGAGACGUUUGAGGAGAGGACUGCCGAGGGUCACCCAUCUUCAGCCACUAGAGCAGGUUGGAAUAUCCACAAUUGGAUUUGCCCGUGAUGUAUAAUUUUCGAACAGAAGUCUUUUGCAAAUUUGUCUGAGGAGCUGGACUUGAGCCACAAAAGCUCAAAUUAACAUAUAGCAGUUAGUCUUUAAGGUGAAUUGGACCAUGAUGUAUAAUUUUGGAACAGAACUCUUUUGCAAAUUUGUCUGAGGAGUUGGACUUGAGCCACAAAAGCUCAAAUUAAAAGUAUAGCAGUUAGUCUUUAAGGUGCCACAAUGUUUUUGUCUUCUUUAUCUUUUUUUCCCCCCAAUCUUUUGCUUUUGCCUUUAAAAAGUGUUACCUUUCCCCUCCCCAUGGCUGCCCAGAUGAUGUAUAAUUUUGGAACAGAACUCUUUUGCAAAUUUGUCUGAGGAGUUGGACUUGAGCCACAAAAGCUCAAAUUAAAAGUAUAGCAGUUAGUCUUUAAGGUGCCACAAUGUUUUUGUCUUCUUUAUCUUUUUU
Molecule: long non-coding RNA, 1387 nt
Filed under: Pogona vitticeps (central bearded dragon)
Lineage: Eukaryota; Metazoa; Chordata; Lepidosauria; Squamata; Agamidae
Description: lncRNA (ENSPVIG00000014782.1)
Source: RNAcentral